Non-coding RNA from Acanthosepion pharaonis, 83 nucleotides. NCBI's taxonomy places the organism in Eukaryota, Metazoa, Mollusca, Cephalopoda, Sepiida, Sepiidae. The record is from the annotation of a GenBank genome assembly.
CCGUACGAUCAGUGAAGUUAAGCAACGUCGAGCCUGGUUAGUACCUAAAUGGGUGACCGACUGGGAAUCCCAGGUGUUGCAAG